UACAGAGGGUGCGAGCGUUAAUCGGAAUUACUGGGCGUAAAGCGUGCGUAGACGGUUAUUUAAGUCGGGUGUGAAAUCCCCGGGCUCAACCUGGGAAUGGCAUUUGGGACUGCAAGGCUAGAGUGUGGCAGAGGAGACUGGAAUUCCUGGUGUAGCAGUGAAAUGCGUAGAUAUCAGGAGGAAUACCGAUGGCGAAGGCAGGUCUCUGGGUUAACACUGACGCUCAUGCACGAAAGCGUGGGGAGCAAACAGG
Molecule: ribosomal RNA, 253 nt
Filed under: uncultured bacterium
Lineage: Bacteria
Description: partial 16S ribosomal RNA
Rfam family: Bacterial small subunit ribosomal RNA
Source: RNAcentral